This 435-nucleotide ribosomal RNA is filed under the name uncultured Ruminococcus sp. RNAcentral's name for it is "partial 16S ribosomal RNA". It matches the Rfam family "Bacterial small subunit ribosomal RNA", at positions 341 to 792 of the family's 1533-position model. The record is from RNAcentral. Lineage: Bacteria; Bacillati; Bacillota; Clostridia; Eubacteriales; Oscillospiraceae.
ACGGAAGGCAGCAGUGGGGAAUAUUGGGCAAUGGGCGCAAGCCUGACCCAGCAACGCCGCGUGAAGGAAGAAGGCUUUCGGAUUGUAAACCUCUGUCAUAAGGGACGAAAAAAGACGGUACCUUAGAAGGAAGCUCCGGCUAACUACGUGCCAGCAGCCGCGGUAAUACGUAGGGAGCAAGCGUUAUCCGGAAUUACUGGGUGUAAAGGGAGUGUAGGCGGGACUGUAAGUCAGAUGUGAAAUAUACCGGCUCAACUGGUAGACUGCAUUUGAAACUGCGGUUCUUGAGUGAAGUAGAGGUAAGCGGAAUUCCUAGUGUAGCGGUGAAAUGCGUAGAUAUUAGGAGGAACAUCAGUGGCGAAGGCGGCUUACUGGGCUUUAACUGACGCUGAGGCUCGAAAGCGUGGGGAGCAAACAGGAUUAGAUACCCUGGUA